This 491-nucleotide ribosomal RNA is filed under the name uncultured bacterium. RNAcentral describes it as "partial 16S ribosomal RNA". It matches the Rfam family "Bacterial small subunit ribosomal RNA", at positions 29 to 506 of the family's 1533-position model. The record is from RNAcentral.
AGUGAACGCUGGCGGUAGGCCUAACACAUGCAAGUCGAACGGCAGCACAGUAAGAGCUUGCUCUUACGGGUGGCGAGUGGCGGACGGGUGAGGAAUACAUCGGAAUCUACUUUUUCGUGGGGGAUAACGUAGGGAAACUUACGCUAAUACCGCAUACGACCUACGGGUGAAAGCAGGGGAUCUUCGGACCUUGCGCGAUUGAAUGAGCCGAUGUCGGAUUAGCUAGUUGGCGGGGUAAAGGCCCACCAAGGCGACGAUCCGUAGCUGGUCUGAGAGGAUGAUCAGCCACACUGGAACUGAGACACGGUCCAGACUCCUACGGGAGGCAGCAGUGGGGAAUAUUGGACAAUGGGCGCAAGCCUGAUCCAGCCAUACCGCGUGGGUGAAGAAGGUCUUCGGGUUGUAAAGCCCUUUUGUUGGGAAAGAAAAGCAGCAGGUUAAUACCCCGCUGUUCUGACGGUACCCAAAGAAUAAGCACCGGCUAACUUCGU